AAAUUUCAAGUGUGGGAUCUUGGUACGCCAAUUUAUUCCUUUUGAUCCAUAUUUCCUGCUGGCAUAUAACUAGAAUCACAUUUUCUAUAUAUGACUGGCAUAUGAUUAGAGUCAUUUAUUCCAAUGAGCCUUAUUACUAGCUGCUCACUACUGUUAAAUUUUAAGAGCGUGUGAAGCAACAUCUCUUUCAAUUACUAAGAAUAAUCUUUAAUGCUGUCUAUGAAUUUCUUUUGUUCACUUGAUUUUGGGUGGAUGAUACAAAAGAGUGUGGAGCCUGAGGUUGGUCAGUAGAUAUAUGCAUUGAAUUUAUGUGAAUUUGUUAUUCAUAAUUGAAUUUGUACAGCUGAUUUUAUGGGGCAGCUUCCUGGUGAAAUGAAAUAGUGCAAACUUCAUUACGUGCAAAUAAACAUGUAUCUGCUUCUGAAGAAUUGUACACCAAACAAAGACUCUUACCUUUCCAUAUGUUGUUUGUAGAGAGAAAAUAACUAUUAUAGGAAGGACAAAUCAAAUGUGAUUAGCAAGAAAAUUUACUAGAGAGAAUCAGUCAUAAUCUAAAAGGUAUGCAUGGAAUGAAGAGAGAGAAAAAGAAGCGGGAGAAGUGCAAUAAGAGUAUAAAUUUAUGAUGAUAAAUUGGCAACCAUGCCUUUGAUGCUUGAAAAGGUAUAUAUAACCUUGAAAUAGUUCACAAGGCUAAAAUUAAGUGUUUUGGUUACUUUUUAGCCCGGUUAGAUGGUUUUGAAUUGUUCAAAAUGCCCUAGUCACUCAGCUUUUUCCAGGUCAUGUGCAUGUCCGCUAUGCAACAAAAAUCAAAUCACCAGUAGGCCAGGUCAAUGGUUUGCUAGUUCAGGGUUCUAAAUGGCUCAGCCUAUUUUAGCAACUAUGCUUAAACUCCUUGACUGUCUCUGGAUAUUCAAGAAAGGACACAUAAGUAUAUUAAAGUGCUUGGAAAUCUCUGGACUUGUGCAUACUAUGUAACUAUUCUUCUUUCUUUGAAAAGCACAAAGAAUUUUUAGUGCAAGAAUGAAAGUAAAUUAUGAUUAUGGGGCUGAAUGUAUUAUUAUCAUAACUCUUAAAAGUAAGGGUUCAAAACUUCAAAUACAAAUUGAAUUGUCCUUUUUCUAUUAUGAGCUGUUUUUCAAAACCAUAUCUCACCUGCAGCAAAUAUGGAUGUUGCCUGUGGGCUCCACAAUAAAAUUCCCCAAGUUACAGAGAAUGGGAUCCUGUAGUAAAACAUGUGAAAUCCUUUUUUUUUCUUAAAUUAACCUUUUUUACACUACUGCAUGAGCAAUGGCUUGAGAACUUGUGGCAACUUGAACCAGAAGCAAGAAUUUUUAUCUUGUCAAAAGGCUGCUAAUUCUAAUUAUUUGGUAACGUGAAUUAGGAGAAAUACAGAAAACAGUCUUGAAUUCAUGCUUAUUUAUCUUGUUGGGAUUAUCAAUCCCACAUCGGGAAAGUACGAACAUAAAAGGGUAAAUAUAAGUG
RNAcentral lists this unclassified non-coding RNA (1482 nucleotides) under Hevea brasiliensis (rubber tree). The record is from RNAcentral. Lineage: Eukaryota; Viridiplantae; Streptophyta; Magnoliopsida; Malpighiales; Euphorbiaceae.